UGCCAGCAGCCGCGGUAAUACGAAGGGUGCUAGCGUUGUUCGGAAUUACUGGGCGUAAAGAGCAUGUAGGCGGUCGUGUUAGUCGGAUGUGAAAGCCCCGGGCUCAACCCGGGAACUGCAUCCGAAACUGCACGACUAGAGUCCCGGAGGGGGUGGUGGAAUUCCUGGUGUAGAGGUGAAAUUCGUAGAUAUCAGGAGGAACACCUGUGGCGAAGGCGACCACCUGGACGGGCACUGACGCUGAGACGCGAAAGCGUGGGGAGCAAACAGGAUUAGAUA
This 279-nucleotide ribosomal RNA is filed under the name uncultured bacterium. RNAcentral's name for it is "partial 16S ribosomal RNA". It matches the Rfam family "Bacterial small subunit ribosomal RNA", at positions 506 to 784 of the family's 1533-position model. The record is from RNAcentral.